RNAcentral lists this transfer RNA (69 nucleotides) under Solecurtus divaricatus (divaricate short razor). RNAcentral describes it as "tRNA-Pro". The record is from RNAcentral. Lineage: Eukaryota; Metazoa; Mollusca; Bivalvia; Cardiida; Solecurtidae.
CAGGCUGUAGUUUAAUAAAAAUUGAGGUUUUGGGAAUCUCUGAUCCUGUAGGUGAAAUAGGUGGCCUGA